Molecule: ribosomal RNA, 793 nt
Filed under: uncultured bacterium
Lineage: Bacteria
Description: bacterial SSU rRNA
Rfam family: Bacterial small subunit ribosomal RNA
Source: RNAcentral
AGAGUUUGAUCCUGGCUCAGAUUGAACGCUGGCGGAAUGCUUUACACAUGCAAGUCGAACGGGGCUUGGGGGCUUGCUCCCAAGCUUAGUGGCGAACGGGUGAGUAAUGCGUCGGAACGUACCGAGUAAUGGGGGAUAACCCGGCGAAAGUCGGAUUAAUACCGCAUACGUCCUUAGGGAGAAAGCAGGGGAUCGUAAGACCUUGCGUUAUUCGAGCGGCCGACGUCUGAUUAGCUAGUUGGUGAGGUAAUGGCUCACCAAGGCGACGAUCAGUAGCGGGUCUGAGAGGAUGAUCCGUCACACUGGGACUGAGACACGGCCCAGACUCCUACGGGAGGCAGCAGUGGGGAAUUUUGGACAAUGGGGGAAACCCUGAUCCAGCCAUUCCGCGUGAGUGAAGAAGGCCUUCGGGUUGUAAAGCUCUUUCAGCAGGAACGAAACGGUACGCUCUAACAUAGCGUGCUAAUGACGGUACCUGCAGAAGAAGCACCGGCUAACUACGUGCCAGCAGCCGCGGUAAUACGUAGGGUGCGAGCGUUAAUCGGAAUUACUGGGCGUAAAGCGUGCGCAGGCGGACUGUUAAGCAAGAUGUGAAAUCCCCGGGCUUAACCUGGGAAUGGCAUUUUGAACUGGCAGUCUAGAGUGUGUCAGAGGGGGGUGGAAUUCCACGUGUAGCAGUGAAAUGCGUAGAGAUGUGGAGGAACACCAAUGGCGAAGGCAGCCCCCUGGGAUAACACUGACGCUCAUGUACGAAAGCGUGGGUAGCAAACAGGAUUAGAUACCCUGGUAGUCC